RNAcentral lists this ribosomal RNA (253 nucleotides) under uncultured bacterium. RNAcentral describes it as "partial 16S ribosomal RNA". It matches the Rfam family "Bacterial small subunit ribosomal RNA", at positions 524 to 776 of the family's 1533-position model. The record is from RNAcentral.
UACGGGGGGAGCAAGCGUUGUUCGGAUUUAUUGGGCGUAAAGAGCUCGUAGGCGGUCUGUCGCGUCGGCUGUGAAAUCCCGAGGCUCAACCUCGGGUCUGCAGUCGAUACGGGCAAACUUGAGUGUUGCAGGGGAGACUGGAAUUCCUGGUGUAGCGGUGAAAUGCGCAGAUAUCAGGAGGAACACCGGUGGCGAAGGCGGGUCUCUGGGCAACAACUGACGCUGAGGAGCGAAAGCGUGGGGAGCGAACAGG